RNAcentral lists this long non-coding RNA (1266 nucleotides) under Homo sapiens (human). RNAcentral's name for it is "cancer/testis associated transcript 70". The record is from RNAcentral. Lineage: Eukaryota; Metazoa; Chordata; Mammalia; Primates; Hominidae.
AGACUCGGGGCCCCGCGCGCUUGCGCGCCGCCCGCUGCCCGCCGCCCGCCGCGGCUGGGAGUCCGGAGGUUUCAUCUUGUGAUGGUUUCGGUUCGGCUCUCAAAUGGAGGAUGGCUACGUUGAAGACAGCUGGGGCUGCCGCACGCCUCGGGGUUACUGUCGGGCACCCGGCGGGCGGGGCCGGCGCUGGGGCGGGGGAGGGCUUCCUCGCCCUCAGAAACCACAUUCGCAGAAACGUUUUUAACUGGCAAGGUUUCGAGUUCCCAACCACAGCACCCUCAGUGAUGGUUUUCAGAAGACCUUGUUAGCUCCUCUCCUCCAGAGACCCAUCCUUCGCUGACAUCCCACCGAUUUGGGAGCAGGAAAAAACAGACUCCUGCAAAAUACCUCUUCUUCCAGUGCCCUGUACCCCUCUCUACUUACUUCGAGUCCCUGCAGUCCAGCAACAACCCCAAACGAGUGAAGGGAGGAGACAUAGGUUUGUCCAGGCUCUGCCACCGACGGGUGAUUUGGGAUGAGUCCUUCUCCAGUAUCAUUAUCUUCAACUGUAAAACAUGAGGGUUAGUCCGAAUGAUCUCCAAACGCUUCAGCAUUAAAGUUAGGUGAUGAAUCCUAAGAUUUUGCAGUUCUAUAAUGUCACAUCUCCUCCGUUUCAGAGAGGGCCCGCAGGGAAUCUUGUUAAGGAUAACUGCCAUCGAAGUUACAAGUUUGUUCUGUGAUUGAAGAGUUUCAGGUCUUCUAGAUUUCUUUGGCAUGACGCAUAACUAUUUCAAGAUACUAACAUUUGGGCAGGGCGUGGUGGCUCAGGCCUGUAGUCCUAACACUUUGGGGGGCCGAGGCGGGCAGAUCACCUGAGGGUAGGAGUUAGAGACCAGUCUGGCCAACAUGGUGAAACCCCGUCUCUACUAAAAAUACAAAAAUUAGCCGGGCGUGGCGGUACAUGCCUGUAAUCCCAGCUACUCAGGAGGCUAAGGCAGAAGAAUCGCUUGAAUCCAGGAGGCGGAGGUUGCAGUGAGCUGAGAUCACGCCACUGCACCCCAGCCUGGGCAACAGAGGGAGACUCCUUCUGAAAAAAAAAAAAAAAAAAAGAUACUAACAUUUAAGGUUAAGAAUGUAGGUCAUUUCCCCAGAGGACUAACAGACUCGAGGGCACACACCCCAAAUUUUAUUUCUUUGACUCUGUCAUUGCCCCCAGAACAGUAUAUAAUGUAGCCAAUUGUUGUGGAUUUAUUGUUAAUGAAUAAAAUAAAAUUUGUGACUAGCAGG